AGACCCUGCGAGGUCACAAAGCCCCCCAUGAAGUCAUAAGGCCAAGCCAUGGUGUGCAGUGCAGGGCGUGUGCUGCAGGCACCGCUCCAGCAGCAGCAGUGACAGCGGUGACAGCAUGGUGCAGGCGCGGUGGGCCCUGGCCCUCAUCCUCCUCCUGGUGGCCCUGCCAGUCGGAGGUCCAGAGUAUCAAGAUGGAAGGGGACAAUCUUCCCAGGACACAUCCAAAGUGCUACAUGAAAUCCUUGGACAGCUGAAGACAAUAGCACGAGGCGCCUCGCAGCUUCGAGAGCCGGCUCUGAGCGCCCCAACAGCCGGGCAGAAGCCAGCAGAAUAUUUGCAGGAGCGUUUAAAUAAAGAUCAGCAGCACAAUCGACUGGAUUGUACUGGCAGCAAAUUCCUAUGGGUGCCACUGCGAGGCCUGGGGGUCCCCUGGGUACUGAUGGAAUCUAACUUACCACUGAUUCUAACUGUUUCUGAUUUGAUUUUCACUAUACGUAUUAUCCAUUCCAUAAGCAAUAGUGACCCUGGCCAGCACACUUUGUUGUGUUUUUGGAAAUUCAUAUUAAUUCCAC
This 572-nucleotide long non-coding RNA is filed under the name Manacus vitellinus (golden-collared manakin). Its description in RNAcentral is "lncRNA (ENSMVIG00005010091.1)". Lineage: Eukaryota; Metazoa; Chordata; Aves; Passeriformes; Pipridae. The record is from RNAcentral.